GUGGCCUAGUGGUUAUAGCGUCCGUCUCAGAUGCGGGGGGUCGUGGGUUCAGUCCCCGGUCAAGUCA
This is a non-coding RNA of Potamilus streckersoni, 67 nucleotides long. The record is from the annotation of a GenBank genome assembly. Lineage: Eukaryota; Metazoa; Mollusca; Bivalvia; Unionida; Unionidae.